AGUGAACGCUGGCGGUAGGCCUAACACAUGCAAGUCGAACGGCAGCACAGUAAGAGCUUGCUCUUACGGGUGGCGAGUGGCGGACGGGUGAGGAAUACAUCGGAAUCUACUUUUUCGUGGGGGAUAACGUAGGGAAACUUACGCUAAUACCGCAUACGACCUACGGGUGAAAGCAGGGGAUCUUCGGACCUUGCGCGAUUGAAUGAGCCGAUGUCGGAUUAGCUAGUUGGCGGGGUAAAGGCCCACCAAGGCGACGAUCCGUAGCUGGUCUGAGAGGAUGUGCAGGCACACAGGAAAUGGGAGACGGUCCCGAGUCCCACGGGAGGGAGCGGUGGGGAAAAUUGGGCAAUGGGCGCGAACCUGAGCCAGCCAUACCGCGUGGGUGAGAAAGGGCCUUGGGGUUUGAAACCCUUUUGUUGGGGAAGAAAAGGGGCAGGUUUAUAUCCCGCUGUUCUGACGGUACCCAAAGAAUAAGCACCGGCUAACUUCGUG
This 492-nucleotide ribosomal RNA is filed under the name uncultured bacterium. Its description in RNAcentral is "partial 16S ribosomal RNA". It matches the Rfam family "Bacterial small subunit ribosomal RNA", at positions 29 to 507 of the family's 1533-position model. The record is from RNAcentral.